CAAUCACUUGUCCUUUAAAUGAAGACCUGUAUGAAUGGCUAAACGAGGGCUUAGCUGUCUCCUCCCCCCGGUCAAUGAAAUUGAUCUCCCCGUGCAGAAGCGGGGAUACUUACAUAAGACGAGAAGACCCUAUGGAGCUUUAGACACUAGACAGCCCACGUUAAACUUCCCCCCAAAAGGGAAAAAACAUUGUGACUCCUGUCUCUCCUGUCUUCGGUUGGGGCGACCGCGGAGGAUAAAAGAGCCUCCAUGUGGACCGAGGUUACUAACCUCACAACUAAGAGCUGCAGCUCCAAGCAACAGAAAUUCUGACCAAAAUGAUCCGGCACAUGCCGAUUAACGGAACAAGUUACCCUAGGGAUAACAGCGCAAUCCUCUCCCAGAGUCCC
RNAcentral lists this ribosomal RNA (389 nucleotides) under Thaleichthys pacificus (eulachon). Its description in RNAcentral is "partial 16S ribosomal RNA". It matches the Rfam family "Bacterial large subunit ribosomal RNA", at positions 1962 to 2502 of the family's 2925-position model. Lineage: Eukaryota; Metazoa; Chordata; Actinopteri; Osmeriformes; Osmeridae. The record is from RNAcentral.